Molecule: ribosomal RNA, 884 nt
Filed under: uncultured Alphaproteobacteria bacterium
Lineage: Bacteria; Pseudomonadati; Pseudomonadota; Alphaproteobacteria
Description: bacterial SSU rRNA
Rfam family: Bacterial small subunit ribosomal RNA
Source: RNAcentral
CGCUGGCGGCACGCCUAACACAUGCAAGUCGAACGAAGUAGCAAUACUUAGUGGCAGACGGGUGAGUAACAUGUAGGUAUCUGCCCUUUGGCCUGGAAUAACACGAGGAAACUUGUGCUAAUACCGGAUAAGUCUUUACGGAGAAAGCUUUAUGCACCAUUGGAUGAGCCUGCACUUGAUUAGUUUGUUGGUGGGGUAAUGGCCUACCAAGACUGUGAUCAAUAGCUGAUUUGAGAGGAUGAUCAGCCACAUUGGGACUGAGACACGGCCCAAACUCCUACGGGAGGCAGCAGUGGGGAAUCUUGCACAAUGGAGGAAACUCUGAUGCAGCGAUGCCGCGUGAGUGAAGAAGGCCCUUGGGUUGUAAAGCUCUUUCGUCGGGGAAGAAAAUGACUGUACCCGAAUAAGAAGGUCCGGCUAACUUCGUGCCAGCAGCCGCGGUAAUACGAAGGGACCUAGCGUAGUUCGGAAUUACUGGGCUUAAAGAGUUCGUAGGUGGUUGAAAAAGUUAGUGGUGAAAUCCCAGAGCUUAACUCUGGAACUGCCAUUAAAACUUUUCAGCUAGAGUAUGAUAGAGGAAAGCAGAAUUUCUAGUGUAGAGGUGAAAUUCGUAGAUAUUAGAAAGAAUACCAAUUGCGAAGGCAGCUUUCUGGAUCAUUACUGACACUGAGGAACGAAAGCAUGGGUAGCGAAGAGGAUUAGAUACCCUCGUAGUCCAUGCCGUAAACGAUGUGUGUUAGACGUUGGAAAUUUAUUUUCAGUGUCGCAGGGAAACCGAUAAACACACCGCCUGGGGAGUACGACCGCAAGGUUAAAACUCAAAUGAAUUGACGGGGACCCGCACAAGUAGUGGAGCAUGUGGUUUAAUUCGAAGAUACGCGCAG